GAAUGAGAGCUUCGGCAGGAUUUUUAUCUAUCUUAGUGGCGGACGGGUGAGUAACGUGUGGGCAACCUGCCCUGUACUGGGGAAUAAUCAUUGGAAACGAUGACUAAUACCGCAUGUGGUCCUCGGAAGGCAUCUUCUGAGGAAGAAAGGAUUUAUUCGGUACAGGAUGGGCCCGCAUCUGAUUAGCUAGUUGGUGAGAUAACAGCCCACCAAGGCGACGAUCAGUAGCCGACCUGAGAGGGUGAUCGGCCACAUUGGGACUGAGACACGGCCCAAACUCCUACGGGAGGCAGCAGUGGGGAAUAUUGCACAAUGGGCGAAAGCCUGAUGCAGCAACGCCGCGUGAAGGAUGAAGGGUUUCGGCUCGUAAACUUCUAUCAAUAGGGAAGAAAUAAAUGACGGUACCUAAAUAAGAAGCCCCGGCUAACUACGUGCCAGCAGCCGCGGUAAUACGUAGGGGGCAAGCGUUAUCCGGAAUUACUGGGUGUAAAGGGAGCGUAGGCGGCAUGGUAAGCCAGAUGUGAAAGCCUUGGGCUUAACCCGAGGAUUGCAUUUGGAACUAUCAAGCUAGAGUACAGGAGAGGAAAGCGGAAUUCCUAGUGUAGCGGUGAAAUGCGUAGAUAUUAGGAAGAACACCAGUGGCGAAGGCGGCUUUCUGGACUGAAACUGACGCUGAGGCUCGAAAGCGUGGGGAGCAAACAGGAUUAGAUACCCUGGUAGUCCACGCCGUAAACGAUGAGUGCUAGGUGUCGGGGAGGAAUCCUCGGUGCCGCAGCUAACGCAAUAAGCACUCCACCUGGGGAGUACGACCGCAAGGUUGAAACUCAAAGGAAUU
Molecule: ribosomal RNA, 835 nt
Filed under: uncultured bacterium
Lineage: Bacteria
Description: bacterial SSU rRNA
Rfam family: Bacterial small subunit ribosomal RNA
Source: RNAcentral